GAUGAACGCUGGCGGCGUGCCUAACACAUGCAAGUCGAACGAAGCACCUUACCUGAUUCUUCGGAUGAAAGUUUGGUGACUGAGUGGCGGACGGGUGAGUAACGCGUGGGUAACCUGCCCUGUACAGGGGGAUAACAGCUGGAAACGGCUGCUAAUACCGCAUAAGCGCACGAGGAGACAUCUCCUUGUGUGAAAAACUCCGGUGGUACAGGAUGGGCCCGCGUCUGAUUAGCUGGUUGGCAGGGUAACGGCCUACCAAGGCAACGAUCAGUAGCCGGUCUGAGAGGAUGAACGGCCACAUUGGAACUGAGACACGGUCCAAACUCCUACGGGAGGCAGCAGUGGGGAAUAUUGCACAAUGGGGGAAACCCUGAUGCAGCAACGCCGCGUGAGUGAAGAAGUAUUUCGGCAUGUAAAGCUCUAUCAGCAGGGAAGAUAAUGACGGUACCUGACUAAGAAGCUCCGGCUAAAUACGUG
This 477-nucleotide ribosomal RNA is filed under the name uncultured bacterium. Its description in RNAcentral is "partial 16S ribosomal RNA". It matches the Rfam family "Bacterial small subunit ribosomal RNA", at positions 28 to 507 of the family's 1533-position model. The record is from RNAcentral.